CCUACGGGUGGCAGCAGUGAGGAAUAUUGGUCAAUGGCCGGAAGGCUGAACCAGCCAAGUCGCGUGAGGGAAUAAGGCCCUAUGGGUCGUAAACCUCUUUUGUCAGGGAGCAAAGGCGUCCACGUGUGGACGAGAGGAGAGUAGCUGCAGAAAAAGCAUCGGCUAACUCCGUGCCAGCAGUCGCGGUAAUACGGAGGAUGCGAGCGGUAUACGGAUUUAUUGGGUGUACAGGGUGCGUAGGCGGAGGGUCAAGUGAGCGGUAAAAGUUCGGGGCUCAAACCCGUCGUGCCGUUGAAACUGACGCCCGUGAGUCAGUGAGAAGUAAGCGGAAUGCGUGGUGUAGCGGUGAAAUGCAUAGAUAUCACGCAGAACGCCGAUUGCGAAGGCAGCUUACCGGAGCUAAACUGACGCUGAGGUACGAAAGUGCGGGUAUCGAACAGGAUUAGAUACCCGGGUAGUC
Molecule: ribosomal RNA, 460 nt
Filed under: uncultured bacterium
Lineage: Bacteria
Description: partial 16S ribosomal RNA
Rfam family: Bacterial small subunit ribosomal RNA
Source: RNAcentral